RNAcentral lists this ribosomal RNA (567 nucleotides) under Triticum aestivum (bread wheat). Its description in RNAcentral is "partial small subunit ribosomal RNA". Lineage: Eukaryota; Viridiplantae; Streptophyta; Magnoliopsida; Poales; Poaceae. The record is from RNAcentral.
AUGGGCCUUCCAACACUAGGUGAAAAAGAGCAGCCAAAUGAGAAGGAAAUUUCACCAAUACUAUUGCAGUGGUUGGAAUGUAUUGCUCAGCUGAUGCGCAUGUACCCGUCUGCAUUUGAGUUUUCAUCCAUAUUUCUGGUGGAUUUUAUGGAUGCUGUGCUAUCGUGCCGUUUUGGUAACUUCCUAUGCAAUAGUGAGGAGGAAAGGGCACGUGCUGAUGUCGUGAACUCUUGUCCUUGCAUUUGGGAGCAUUUGGCUGAUAUGUGGGCCUCCUGCGGCAUGGUCCACAAGCACAUGAAUACUUUUUACAACCCAAGCAAAUAUACUGGUGCCAUUGUCCCGCCAGCUUCAGCGCUUACUCCCAUACUUUGGCCUGAAUUUUAUUUGAGAUGGACUUGUCCACUUGAAUCACAAAGGGAGAGCGAUUAUGUGGAAGCAUUGAAGUCAAAGAAGGAUGCUGAGCCUCGAAGCACGGUAGCAGAACUGGAAGGGAGCCAUACAGACGUGGCCAAGCCAAGUGGUGGAAAUUGUAGACUUCGGGUAGUGGGCUCCAAUGUUUUGAUGUGA